GCCGGGGGCUCUGAGGUGGGCGGCCCAGGCCCCCUGACAGACAGCGAUCAAAAAUCCGGAUGACCAAACCGUUUUCGGCGCUCACACGGGUUUUCCUGUUCCACCUUUCUGGCCAGACGCGUCGGUGCCUUGAGGCUCCAAAAGUCCCAAGUGUGGAUUUUGCAGACAUGACUGCAGAGCAGACAUCCGGUCAGCAGAGGGCACACUCGUCACUGUCAACCCCUAUUGCCAGAUUUGGAGGUGACUAUGGGUCCUCAAACCACAGUUUCUGCCGGACCCGGGCAGCACAAGGCUUGUAAGCGGAGAUUCUGGAG
This 314-nucleotide long non-coding RNA is filed under the name Felis catus (domestic cat). Its description in RNAcentral is "lncRNA (ENSFCAG00000049567.1)". The record is from RNAcentral. Lineage: Eukaryota; Metazoa; Chordata; Mammalia; Carnivora; Felidae.